GAUGAACGCUGGCGGCGUGCCUAACACAUGCAAGUCGAGCGGCAGCGAGGGGUGCUUGCACCCUGUCGGCGAGCGGCGGACGGCUGAGUAACGCGUGGGAACGUGCCCCAAAGUGAGGAAUAACUGCCCGAAAGGGUAGCUAAUACCGCAUAUUAUCUUCGGAUCAAAGGAUUUAUCCGCUUUGGGAGCGGCUCGCGUCGGAUUAGGUAGUUGGUGAGGUAAUGGCUCACCAAGCCGACGAUCCAUAGCUGGUCUGAGAGGAUGACCAGCCAGACUGGAACUGAGACACGGUCCAGACUCCUACGGGAGGCAGCAGUGAGGAAUCUUCCACAAUGGGCGAAAGCCUGAUGGAGCAACGCCGCGUGCAGGACGAAGGCCUUCGGGUUGUAAACUGCUUUUAUAAGUGAGGAAUAUGACGGUAACUUAUGAAUAAGGAUCGGCUAACUGCGUG
Molecule: ribosomal RNA, 451 nt
Filed under: uncultured bacterium
Lineage: Bacteria
Description: partial 16S ribosomal RNA
Rfam family: Bacterial small subunit ribosomal RNA
Source: RNAcentral